RNAcentral lists this ribosomal RNA (253 nucleotides) under uncultured bacterium. RNAcentral's name for it is "partial 16S ribosomal RNA". It matches the Rfam family "Bacterial small subunit ribosomal RNA", at positions 524 to 776 of the family's 1533-position model. The record is from RNAcentral.
UACGUAGGUGGCAAGCGUUGUCCGGAUUUACUGGGCGUAAAGAGCGCGCAGGCGGUCGAAUAAGUCGAAUGUGAAAGCCCCCGGCUCAACUGGGGAGGGUCAUUCGAUACUGCUCGACUUGAAGGCAGGAGAGGGUAGUGGAAUUCCCGGUGUAGUGGUGAAAUGCGUAGAUAUCGGGAGGAACACCAGUGGCGAAGGCGACUACCUGGUCCAGCACCGACGUUCAGGCACGAAAGCGUGGGGAGCAAACAGG